Molecule: unclassified non-coding RNA, 208 nt
Filed under: Hevea brasiliensis (rubber tree)
Lineage: Eukaryota; Viridiplantae; Streptophyta; Magnoliopsida; Malpighiales; Euphorbiaceae
Source: RNAcentral
CAGGGAUAUCCAGAUAUGAUCCAUCAUCUGCUCCGUUAGAUGUUGUUAUGGUUGUUAUGAAAUGAGGACCCUUCGGAGAGUAGGAUUUAGCAUCUUCAAGCAGGCGUUGCUCUUUGAAAUUCCCUUUCCCCGUCUUGUCAUAACUGCUCUCAACUUCAUCAGAUGAAUUCUUCUUCCUGUUCUUCUCAGAGAAAUUGAUGGAAACAGG